AAGGCCUUAGCUUAAUUAAAGUGUCUGAGUUGCAUUUAGAAGAUGUAGGAUAAAGUCCUGCAGGUUUUA
Molecule: transfer RNA, 69 nt
Filed under: Petrocephalus microphthalmus
Lineage: Eukaryota; Metazoa; Chordata; Actinopteri; Osteoglossiformes; Mormyridae
Description: tRNA-Ala
Rfam family: tRNA
About the family: Transfer RNA (tRNA) molecules are approximately 80 nucleotides in length. Their secondary structure includes four short double-helical elements and three loops (D, anti-codon, and T loops).
Source: RNAcentral